This 30-nucleotide non-coding RNA is filed under the name Rattus norvegicus (Norway rat). The record is from RNAcentral. Lineage: Eukaryota; Metazoa; Chordata; Mammalia; Rodentia; Muridae.
UAGCCAACCCUGCAAUCUUCUCUUAAUGGA